Molecule: ribosomal RNA, 256 nt
Filed under: uncultured bacterium
Lineage: Bacteria
Description: partial 16S ribosomal RNA
Rfam family: Bacterial small subunit ribosomal RNA
Source: RNAcentral
UAAUACGAACUGUGCAAACGUUAUUCGGAAUCACUGGGCUUACAGGGUGCGUAGGCGGCUUGUUAAGCAGGGUGUGAAAUCCCUCGGCUCAACCGAGGAAUUGCGCCCUGAACUGGCGAGCUGGAGUGGGACAGAGGUGCGCGGAACUUCCAGUGGAGCGGUGAAAUGUGUUGAUAUUGGAAGGAACGCCGGAGGCGAAAGCGGCGCACUGGGUCUUAACUGACGCUGAGGCACGAAAGCCAGGGGAGCAAACGGG